CCUACGGGAGGCAGCAGUGGGGAAUUUUGGACAAUGGGCGAAAGCCUGAUCCAGCAAUGCCGCGUGCAGGAAGAAGGCCUUCGGGUUGUAAACUGCUUUUGUACGGAACGAAACGGUCUGCUUUAAUACAGUGGGCUAAUGACGGUACCGUAAGAAUAAGCACCGGCUAACUACGUGCCAGCAGCCGCGGUAAUACGUAGGGUGCGAGCGUUAAUCGGAAUUACUGGGCGUAAAGCGUGCGCAGGCGGUUAUAUAAGACAGUUGUGAAAUCCCCGGGCUCAACCUGGGAAUUGCAUCUGUGACUGUAUAGCUAGAGUACGGUAGAGGGGGAUGGAAUUCCGCGUGUAGCAGUGAAAUGCGUAGAUAUGCGGAGGAACACCGAUGGCGAAGGCAAUCCCCUGGACCUGUACUGACGCUCAUGCACGAAAGCGUGGGGAGCAAACAGGAUUAGAUACCCUGGUAGUCCACGCCCUAAACGAUGUCAACUGGUUGUUGGGUGCAUUAGUACUCAGUAACGAAGCUAACGCGUGAAGUUGACCGCCUGGGGAGUACGGCCGCAAGGUUGAAACUCGAAAGGAUUGACGG
This 585-nucleotide ribosomal RNA is filed under the name uncultured bacterium. RNAcentral describes it as "bacterial SSU rRNA". It matches the Rfam family "Bacterial small subunit ribosomal RNA", at positions 338 to 916 of the family's 1533-position model. The record is from RNAcentral.